CAGGAAGAAAAAAAAAAGGAGUCAACAUUGGAAGCCUACUUCAAGCUAGGGACUUAGUCUUGGAGAAGAUUCACUCAGCAUUAAGUUCUGGAAAGAACACUUGGCUUGGAAGCUCAUAUUUUUGGAGACCCUGUGACUGAAGUUUCCUGGAUGAGAGAGCAUAUUGCUGGGGGAGUUGUGACCAUUCCUCCCAAAAUGGAAAGCAUGAACUGAUCAGAGAAGAAGGUGGCCCUAGCAAGUUCUUGGGAAUGAGGAAAUACUAGUACAUUAAUGUGGGAUUAAAACAGAAAGGCAAAAUGGAUAAUCUACACAGAGGUAAUAAAGACCGGACUAUACUUUCCU
Long non-coding RNA from Dromiciops gliroides (monito del monte), 342 nucleotides. RefSeq lists it as uncharacterized. NCBI's taxonomy places the organism in Eukaryota, Metazoa, Chordata, Mammalia, Microbiotheria, Microbiotheriidae. The record is from RefSeq and is a predicted model, not a curated record. The transcript is spliced from 3 exons.